Long non-coding RNA from Larimichthys crocea (large yellow croaker), 1080 nucleotides. RefSeq lists it as uncharacterized. Lineage: Eukaryota; Metazoa; Chordata; Actinopteri; Sciaenidae. The transcript has 2 exons. The record is from RefSeq and is a predicted model, not a curated record.
GUGGGUGGGUUAGGGGUGGGAGCGGGAGGGGGGUUGACCAUGCCCUGGGACCCCGGGCAUUUGUAGUUGGGUUGGUCAAUGUUGCGGAGACGUUUGGAAAUAUUUGGACAAACUUUACUUACCCUCAGGAUUGUUGGACUAUAGAGCAGAGCCACUGACGCUGACGAAAACAGAAAAGGAUAGAAAACAAGCUAAUAUUCAGGGGAUCCACUGUAUAAUAAAGACCACCACAGGGAAUAGAAGAUGGGGUCUUGGUGAAUUUUUUUUUGUUUGUUUGUUUGUUUUUCCAAAAAAAAGGAAUUUCACUCAUUUUCAGUCCUUUUACUUUCUGGCCUGUAUCUCAUACCCGUAUCUCUCUCCAUCGAAUCCAUCCACACACACACACACACACACCUGCGAGUGUCCACCAUCUGUAACAACUCUAACUUAUUCUUUUUCUGUUUUUGUUUUUUUUUUCCACCUCCCAUACCUCAGAUCACUCCUAAACAUUCAGAACACAUCACCUCAACAAACCUCAACACAUAAAUGUACAUUGCCUUGCGUACACUCAGGCCAAAGAUUACAGUUUAGUUUUUUUUUGUGAUACUGUUGUCAUGUUUGAUUUUAUUUUUUAUUUUUUGGAAGGUUUUCAGCCGUCGUUUAGAACCACAGGAGGAUCAGAGCGUGUGAUCCGUUUUAUACACUUUCUCUAAAUAUGAGCCUGCAGACAUAUCAUAACGCUUAAAGCACACAUACACACAGAACAUGCAUACAGACAUGGAUAGACAGAAUUGUGAGAAUCGUGUUGUGUUUUCAUUGCAUGGACAAGUGUAAGUAUGGACAGCUGUAUCCCUUUUUCGCUUCUGCAUACCUCAUUCCAUAGUAUACCGUACAACACACACACACACACACACACACACACAGACACACACACACACACAGACUUCGCACAGUUUUGUUGGAAGUGAAGGGAAAAAAGGAUGUCGGAGAGGAGAUGAUUCUUCUUAAUGUGAUGUACAGCAGAGUGCUGAGUGCAUGUGAAAGCCAAUCCCACUGUGUCCUUCAAGUCCCAAUAAACUCUGUGCUAUAGUUUGAGUACUC